CAGUCGCCACGGUAAUACGUAGGUGGCAAGCGUUGUCCGGAAUUAUUGGGCGUAAAGCGCGCGCAGGUGGUUUAAUAAGUCUGAUGUGAAAGCCCACGGCUCAACCGUGGAGGGUCAUUGGAAACUGUUAAACUUGAGUGCAGGAGAGAAAAGUGGAAUUCCUAGUGUAGCGGUGAAAUGCGUAGAGAUUAGGAGGAACACCAGUGGCGAAGGCGGCUUUUUGGCCUGUAACUGACACUGAGGCGCGAAAGCGUGGGGAGCAAACAGGAUUAGAUACCCCAGUAGUCCCUGUCUCUUAUAC
RNAcentral lists this ribosomal RNA (301 nucleotides) under uncultured bacterium. Its description in RNAcentral is "partial 16S ribosomal RNA". It matches the Rfam family "Bacterial small subunit ribosomal RNA", at positions 509 to 807 of the family's 1533-position model. The record is from RNAcentral.